GAUGAACGCUGGCGGCGUGCCUAAUACAUGCAAGUCGAGCGAACAGACGAGAGUGCUUGCACUCUCUGACGUUAGCGGCGGACGGGUGAGUAACACGUGGGUAACCUACCUAUAAGACUGGGAUAACUUCGGGAAACCGGAGCUAAUACCGGAUAAUAUUUAGCUUCGCAUGAAGCAAUAGUGAAAGACGGUUCUGCUGUCACUUAUAGAUGGACCCGCGGUGUAUUAGCUAGUUGGUGAGGUAACGGCUCACCAAGGCAACGAUACAUAGCCGACCUGAGAGGGUGAACGGCCACACUGGGACUGAGACACGGACCAGACUCCUACGGGAGGCAGCAGUAGGGAAUCUUCCGCAAUGGACGAAAGUCUGACGGAGCAAUGCCGCGUGAGUGAAGAAGGUUUUCGGAUCGUAAAACUCUGUUGUAAGGGAAGAACAAGUACGUUAGUAACUGAACGUACCUUGACGGUACCUUACCAGAAAGCCACGGCUAACUACGUG
This 499-nucleotide ribosomal RNA is filed under the name uncultured bacterium. RNAcentral's name for it is "partial 16S ribosomal RNA". It matches the Rfam family "Bacterial small subunit ribosomal RNA", at positions 28 to 507 of the family's 1533-position model. The record is from RNAcentral.